This is a long non-coding RNA of Lotus japonicus, 1906 nucleotides long. RefSeq lists it as uncharacterized. NCBI's taxonomy places the organism in Eukaryota, Viridiplantae, Streptophyta, Magnoliopsida, Fabales, Fabaceae. The record is from RefSeq and is a predicted model, not a curated record. The transcript is spliced from 2 exons.
UUUCCUAUCAAUCAAUAAUAUCAGUGUGAUCUAAAAACAUGUCUUUCUAAACUCCUUAUUUCCUUUCUGAAAGCUUGAUUCUUGUUAAUAUGACAUAAACUCUUGAGAUUCCGGAGAAGAUGGCUCUUCAAGAUAUAGAGUAUGCUCUACACUUGCCCUUCAAGGGAUCUGGUGUAUCAGAAAUAUAUCCGACCAAAGAUCCAUUGUUACGGUCCUCUUUGCUAUCUGUAUAAUGGCAAAUAUAGUAGCUGUGGUUUGAGAAAGUAGGCCAGAAGGCCGAAUAACUCGCCUUGUGAACUAUUUGAUCAUUGUAUGGAUAGUAGAGGGGCUCCCGAACUCAGUGGUAUAUAUAUGAAUAAUAUACAAUAUACAAUAUACUUAAUAAAAAAUUUAUAUUGUGUCACCUGCAAUCUCAACCCAGACAAUUCUGGCCAGUCAUCUCAACCCUCUAUAUUUAAUUCCUCUCUGUACCUAUUCCUCCAGGAUCCAUGUUAUUCAUCCUAUGCAGACCCGGUCUAUGUCAGGAAGUUUUAUGCCCAAAAUACACCCUACUUUGUUUUCCUUACUGCGGAACCAUAAUCCAGUAAUGCAUUCCAGGACAAAACAUAUAGAACUAGAUGUGAUCUUUGUCAGGGAAAAGGUUUUGGCUAAGUCACUCAGCAUCCCACACAUUCUAACCCAUGAACAAGUUGCAGACAUCCUUACUAAGGCCGUCUAAACUCAGGGUGUUCUCUCCUUCAGCUACCCCUUGAAUCUACAGAGGGAAUGUUCGAGAUAUAUGCCUCUGUCACUCAUCUAUGUUACAUGUGUUCUGUAAUAUCUAAUUCUGUUCAGUGCAUAACUUUUAGUUUAGCAGUUAGUUGCAUAUAGCUGUCAGUUAGUUUAAGAUUGUACAAGUUUGUUAACGAACUGUUAACCUUCUGUUAGAAGCUGCUGGUAGCUUUGCAACUCUACAAAUAGAGUUGAUCACACAGUACCAACUAGUUUUACAAGAUACACUUAAUUCAGUUUCAGAUUUCUCUCCCUUUUAUAUACAUUUCUAUCAUUAUAAAUACACUUAAUUCAGUUUAAGAUUUAUCUCCCUUUUAUAUACAUUUCUAUCAUUAUAAAUACACUUAAUUCAGUUCAUACCUUGUAUAUCUUGUGAUAGAAAACUUCAAGCAACCGAAGCUCGGCAUUAGGAUGGGACAACUCUACCUGAGCACCAACAGUAAAAGUGGUGACCUGUUACCAUAAAGUUGUGCAAACACCAUAACUCUUUUAUCUGCAAAUGCAAUGCAUGCAAGUUUAAGGAAAAAAGUUUAACAACUUCACCUUUGUUUUAAGAUCAUCAAGGACAUCCCCCACAGUACUCUGCUUUGGAAGUCUGAUGGUAUGACUAACCACCUGAUUGAACAAAUUAAAGAAAUAUAGCAACGGGUUAAGAGAGAAAUCAAGCCGAAAAUGGAAGAGAAGCAGGUCACCAUACUCACUUCAUCCUUCGUGGCAUAAUGAAAUGCAACUUUCAGAGUCUUCAAACCUUGUAAUUCUGGUAGAGGGAUAUCAAGUACUUCAUAGUAUAGUAUAUCUGAGGUCUGACAUUGAAGAAAGGAAUCAGAUGUAUAGCACUUCAAAGAACAACCAUUAAGGAGUUAACUAACCAUAACUACCUGAUUGUAGUGAACUAGCAUAUCAGACAAAUGUUCCACCCCUCGGUACUUAAUUGGCUGGGGUUUUGGUUGCUGAGAGUAGCAGUUAUGUGGGGUAAGCCGUAUUUUAGAUGGAUCAUCCAAACCAAGUUGUUGCGCUACUUUCUCCACCACAUCAUCAUAUGUAUAAAGCCUUGACCUAGAAAUCAAUAUAAAUAAGAGUAUAAGAAUAAGGAUAGAAUGUUAAGCAUAAUAACAUACAAAUAUUUUCAUCUUCC